AUGCGCCUAAUUUUGUUAACAUUCACAUUCAAAAGCGAACGAUAAUUACGAACUUCAAACACUAAAUUUACUCAUAUCCUUAUCUCUUUAAGCAUCUCUUACCUUUCUUAAUGAAUAUCGAACCAUAACACAUUUUAAUAAUAUACUGUUGUUGUGUAAGGAAGUGGCCAACUUAUGUUGUCUACAAAUGUGAACGACAUAAUACGGUACAUUAACUCAAAAUAAGUUUCUAGAAGACAAUUCCUUCAAAAAAAAAACUAAUAAAGUGAUAGACACCAAAUUAAACAUUAGAGUUAUAUUCGGACUAAAACUGCAACAACAGUACUAUCAUGGAAAUUAUAAAUUAGAAUUGAAU
Molecule: non-coding RNA, 355 nt
Organism: Schizosaccharomyces pombe (fission yeast)
Lineage: Eukaryota; Fungi; Ascomycota; Schizosaccharomycetes; Schizosaccharomycetales; Schizosaccharomycetaceae
Source: the annotation of a GenBank genome assembly